RNAcentral lists this ribosomal RNA (253 nucleotides) under uncultured bacterium. RNAcentral describes it as "partial 16S ribosomal RNA". It matches the Rfam family "Bacterial small subunit ribosomal RNA", at positions 524 to 776 of the family's 1533-position model. The record is from RNAcentral.
UACAGAGGUCCCGAGCGUUGUUCGGAUUCACUGGGCGUAAAGGGUGCGUAGGUGGCUGGGAAAGUUUGAUGUGAAAGCUCAGGGCUUAACCCUGAAAUGGCAUUGAAUACUACUUAGCUGGAGGUUUGGAGGGGGGACUGGAAUUCUUGGUGUAGCAGUGAAAUGCGUAGAUAUCAAGAGGAACACCAGUGGCGAAGGCGAGUCCCUGGACAACACCUGACACUGAGGCACGAAAGCUAGGGGAGCAAACGGG